UGGUAGCUGAUUACUAAAGGUGAUGG
RNAcentral lists this non-coding RNA (26 nucleotides) under Homo sapiens (human). The record is from RNAcentral. Lineage: Eukaryota; Metazoa; Chordata; Mammalia; Primates; Hominidae.